AUUGAACGCUGGCGGCAGGCCUAACACAUGCAAGUCGAGCGGAUGAAGGGAGCUUGCUCCUGGAUUCAGCGGCGGACGGGUGAGUAAUGCCUAGGAAUCUGCCUGGUAGUGGGGGAUAACGUCCGGAAACGGGCGCUAAUACCGCAUACGUCCUGAGGGAGAAAGUGGGGGAUCUUCGGACCUCACGCUAUCAGAUGAGCCUAGGUCGGAUUAGCUAGUUGGUGGGGUAAAGGCCUACCAAGGCGACGAUCCGUAACUGGUCUGAGAGGAUGAUCAGUCACACUGGAACUGAAACACGGUCCAGACUCCUACGGGAGGCAGCAGUGGGGAAUAUUGGACAAUGGGCGGAAGCCUGGUCCAGCCAUGCCGCGUGUGUGAAGAAGGUCUUCGGAUUGUAAAGCACUUUAAGUGGGGAGGAAGGGCAGUAAGUUAAUACCUUGCUGUUUUGACGGUACCAACAGAAUAAGCACCGGCUAACUUCGUG
Molecule: ribosomal RNA, 484 nt
Filed under: uncultured bacterium
Lineage: Bacteria
Description: partial 16S ribosomal RNA
Rfam family: Bacterial small subunit ribosomal RNA
Source: RNAcentral